This 515-nucleotide ribosomal RNA is filed under the name uncultured bacterium. RNAcentral's name for it is "bacterial SSU rRNA". It matches the Rfam family "Bacterial small subunit ribosomal RNA", at positions 53 to 564 of the family's 1533-position model. The record is from RNAcentral. RNAcentral also lists the same sequence under 1 other name.
ACAUUCAAGUUGCGCGACAACGGGAGGAGACUUANGUAACUUCCCUAGUAAAGCAGCGGACGGGUGAGUAACACGUAGGUGACCUGCCCCGGAGAGGGGGACAACCGGCGGAAACACCGGCUAAUACCCCAUAAGCUCACAUUGAUUAGCAAGAGGUGAGAAAAGGUCAGGCGCAAGUCUGUGCGCUCCGGGAGGGGCCUGCGGGCCAUCAGCUANUUGGUGGGGUAAAAGCCCACCAAGGCGAAGACGGCUAGGGGGCCUGAGAGGGUGACCCCCCACAUGGGAACUGAGACACGGUCCCGACUCCUACGGGAGGCAGCAGUAAGGAAUAUUGCACAAUGGGCGCAAGCCUGAUGCANCAACGCCGCGUGCAUGACGAANGCUUUCGGGUUGUAAAAUGCUUUUCUGGCANAAGANGAAGGACAGUAUGCCAGGAAUAAGAGUCNGCUAACUACGUGCCANCCACCGCGGUAAAACGUANGACUCAAGCGUUAUCCGGAUUAACUGGGCGUAAA